RNAcentral lists this non-coding RNA (304 nucleotides) under Phascolarctos cinereus (koala). The record is from RNAcentral. Lineage: Eukaryota; Metazoa; Chordata; Mammalia; Diprotodontia; Phascolarctidae.
GCCUGGAGGUGGUGCAUACCUACAAUCUCUGCUUCUGGGGGAGGCUGAGAUCUGAUGGAUUGCUUGAGCUCAGGAAUUCUGAGCUGCAAUUGGGUUCAAGCUAAUCAGGCGUCUAAGCUAAACCCAUAACCAGUAUGUCGAGCCCCUGAGAGCAGAGUCAUUCAGGUUCCCUAAGGAGGGGCAAACCAGCCCAGGUCAGAAAAACAGGAGCAGACUCAAGUUUCUGUGCCAAUCAGUAUGAGGACCAGACCCAUGAAUGGCCAUUGAAUUUCCAGCCUGGGCAUAAUAGGGAGCCUCAGUCUCA